GUGACGUCAAAAAGUCUAUAAAAGCGUAAGCUGUAGGUUUUCGGGGUCCUCCUCCAUCUUGACCCAUGCCCGCCGUAUGUGCCAUUUCCGCCCUUCUGGCAUCUUUCUUCGUUUCGCGUACUGUAACUUAUAAACCUAAAUUUCUAAUAAUAUUUUUCAACAUUUUCCAAUUCAUUUUUAAACCUUUUGGCCCUUAAAUGUUCUUUUAUCACUCUCCGCUCUCCCAGAGUUUUCAUAAUUUCUUUAAGUGCACGAAUAACGAAAACCCUUCUUGUUUCACGCUUAUACGUGACAGUUGUUCUCAUGCUUGUUUUUUAACAUUGAAGUAUAAUGCAAUAACUCUGAUUUUUCCCACAUGUAAUAGACGCAGACGUUAGUGCUCAAUGUUCAAGCCCUAAUGAAUUCGCCGGGCAUCGCCACUUCAGUCAGAGAGCAAUUAAAAUUAUUUUUGAUGGAACUAAGAGACAAGACAAUAUCUUUUACCAUCAGCGGGUUUUUGAAACUAGAACUUCCAACUUUUGUCUCUUUUCUGAAAGGCGUUUUCACAAAUCUACUGAUUCUACUGCAAUUCUCAAACCUGGUGACAGCUACGAAUAAAGUCUUGGAUAGUAAGGUGGGUGAUGGAACCAUUUGCUUGUUCUGUAUUUAAUGUUAUUAGUAUGUAUAAACGAGUGUCCAUAGUCAUAUGGUCAAAGUUGAAUAUUUGUAUUGAAUAUUGGUUAAAGUUCAAUUCGUAGAUCGUAUCAAUGAAUGCAAUCAGUUCGUCGUAAAAACCUUCAGUGUUUACUGAAUCGAGCUAAAAGUCGACGGUCACAGCUGAAGAAUGUAUAACUUUAUUGCAUUGUUGCAUACUUCCAAAACCACCAAUGAUGCAUUUUUUAACGGGAAAUUUAUUGAAAUACCUUCCUGUUUUCUAUAAAAAUAUUUGAACAAUUGUAGGGAAUUGACAAAAAACACACGCAUAUCUCCCAAUGAAUAGGAGAAUUACAAAACACAAAUAAUUUUUUCUUCUUUCUUUUGUAAAUAAAAUACAUAAGCGAAGAUUCACCAUGUCACAAUUAGAGAUAAGCUAAAUUUGAAUUAGGCCAUCGAAAUAAUCAGGAGAGUUUGAAUCCAUGAAAUACGCAUUCCCUCUCAGACUUAAAAUUAUUUAAUGUGUUAAAUGAGGGCAAUUGAAUAAUUUUCAUGACACAUAUUAAAUGAUGCACUUGUAAUGUUCACGGAGGAAUUGAAUGAUUUUAUUUGGCAUAAUCUCUCAAUAAUUUGCCAUCAAUGUGUCACAAAAAGUUACGUGAAUAUAUCCAGCCAGCAUUUUUCGAUUCACUCAUAGUCGCGUUGCCAGUUGCCUUCAACUUGCUGUGUAUGCAAUUGUACAUGCAAGGUUACCGGGGAGCCGUUGGCUACAUUGAAGGAGUAAAAAUGGAUGAAUUGAAUGCUAUCUGAUAAAAAGAUGACUAUAUCAUUAACGUUUACCGAUGAUUGUUGAUGAUUGUUGAUGAUUGUAAAAUCACGCAUGAGGAACGGAGAGAAUGUGGUCUUUUUUUACUAAUCAAUAAAAUAUUUUUUAUGCCUGGUUUGUGCUAAUGACCAAUUUAAAUUAAUGAAAGUUUUUUGUGGCAUUUAUGGAUGAGAAAAAUUGACAGAAAAGUGCUCGACGUUUUCAACAAGUUUCCGAGCAGGAAGGAGAAAAUCAAUACAAUUGAUGAGUGGUUCAGUUUGUCACUCUUAUAAUCAAUAAAUUAAGUUUGAAAAGACAAAAAUGAAAGAAAGUUCUUUCUGAUAGGCGAAACAUAUAUAUAAGUUUACACGAAACGAAUAAAUGGACCGCAUUUAGCAGAAAUGAAUGAAAUUACAUCAUCUUUUGCCAAAUUUAACCGGGCAAUUUAGUUCUUGUCUAUCAAUUUCAAUUAUCAGCCUGCAGACUGAUUAUUGAAAUGAUUUUACGAGAGAAUGUUGUGCAGAUUCUUUUGAACAUUUUAAGGGAUUUGCUCCGUGCAAUGCAGAGAAAAAAUUCACAAAAAAUUUUCAC
This 2029-nucleotide long non-coding RNA is filed under the name Bemisia tabaci. RNAcentral's name for it is "lncRNA ENSSSA2NGG004736". Lineage: Eukaryota; Metazoa; Arthropoda; Insecta; Hemiptera; Aleyrodidae. The record is from RNAcentral.